CCUACGGGUGGCUGCAGUGGGGAAUAUUGCGCAAUGGGCGAAAGCCUGACGCAGCAACGCCGCGUGAGUGAUGAAGGCCUUCGGGUUGUAAAACUCUGUCAGAUGGGAAGAACCUUGACCGAUUUAUAAGAUCGGACAACUGACGGUACCAUCAGAGGAAGCUCCGGCUAACUCCGUGCCAGCAGCCGCGGUAAUACGGAGGGAGCUAGCGUUGUUCGGAAUUACUGGGCGUAAAGGGCGCGUAGGCGGUGGUGUAAGUCAGAUGUGUAAACCAUCGGCUUAACCGAUUGGAUUGCAUUUGAUACUGCAUCACUUGAGUUCAGUAGAGGAGAGUGGAAUUCCCAGUGUAGCGGUGGAAUGCGUAGAUAUUGGGAAGAACACCAGUGGCGAAGGCGGCUCUCUGGACUGACACUGACGCUGAGGCGCGAAAGCUAGGGGAGCGAACAGGAUUAGAUACCCUAGUAGUC
This 467-nucleotide ribosomal RNA is filed under the name uncultured bacterium. RNAcentral's name for it is "bacterial SSU rRNA". It matches the Rfam family "Bacterial small subunit ribosomal RNA", at positions 338 to 795 of the family's 1533-position model. The record is from RNAcentral.